RNAcentral lists this ribosomal RNA (119 nucleotides) under Zostera marina. The record is from RNAcentral. Lineage: Eukaryota; Viridiplantae; Streptophyta; Magnoliopsida; Alismatales; Zosteraceae.
GGGUGCGAUCAUUUCAGCAUUAAAGCACCGGAUUCCAUCAGAACUUCACAAUUAAACAUGUUUUGAUGAGAGUAGUAAUAGGAUGGGUGACCUUCUAAAAAGUUCUCAUAUUACACCUC